RNAcentral lists this transfer RNA (72 nucleotides) under Bacteroidales bacterium. Its description in RNAcentral is "tRNA-Glu". It matches the Rfam family "tRNA". From Rfam's summary of the family: Transfer RNA (tRNA) molecules are approximately 80 nucleotides in length. Their secondary structure includes four short double-helical elements and three loops (D, anti-codon, and T loops). RNAcentral also lists the same sequence under 3 other names. The record is from RNAcentral. Lineage: Bacteria; Pseudomonadati; Bacteroidota; Bacteroidia; Bacteroidales.
GGCGGGUUCGUAUAUCGGUUAGUACGUCAGAUUUUCAUUCUAAAAAGAGGAGUUCGACUCUCCUACCCGCUA